GAUGAAGAACGCAGCGAAAUGCGAUAAGUAGUGUGAAUUGCAGAAUUCAGUGAAUCAUCGAAUCUUUGAACGCACCUUGCGCCCUUUGGCCAUUCCGAAGGGCAUGCCUGUUUGAGUAUCAUGAACACCUCAACUCUUCAUGGAUUUCCAUGAUGAGCUUGGACUUUGGGGGUCUUGCUGGCCUGUGGGUCGGCUCCUCUCAAAUGAAUCAGCUUGCCGGUUUUUGGUGGGCAUCACAGGUGUGAUAACUAUCUACGCUUGUGGUUUUCCACCAGGGUAACCUUCAGCAGUGGAGGUUCACUGGAGCUUACAAAUGUCUCUCCUCUGUGAGGACAGCCCUUUGAAUGUUUGAUCUCAAAUCAGGUAGGACUACCCGCUGAACUUAAGCAUAUCAAUAAGCGGAGGA
Molecule: unclassified non-coding RNA, 406 nt
Filed under: soil metagenome
Description: partial contains 5.8S ribosomal RNA, internal transcribed spacer 2, and large subunit ribosomal RNA
Rfam family: 5.8S ribosomal RNA (bases 1-121)
Source: RNAcentral